This 333-nucleotide ribosomal RNA is filed under the name uncultured bacterium. Its description in RNAcentral is "bacterial SSU rRNA". It matches the Rfam family "Bacterial small subunit ribosomal RNA", at positions 568 to 898 of the family's 1533-position model. The record is from RNAcentral.
UGCGCAGGCGGCUAGGUAAGACAGAUGUGAAAUCCCCGGGCUUAACCUGGGAACUGCAUUUGUGACUGCCUGGCUAGAGUCUGUCAGAGGGGGGUGGAAUUCCACGUGUAGCAGUGAAAUGCGUAGAGAUGUGGAGGAACACCGAUGGCGAAGGCAGCCCCCUGGGAUGAGACUGACGCUCAUGCACGAAAGCGUGGGGGAGCAAACAGGAUUAGACUACCCUGGUAGUCCACGCCCUAAACGAUGUCGACUAGUUGUCGGGGAUUAACUUUCUCGGUAACGCAGCUAACGCGUGAAGUCGACCGCCGUGGGGAGUACGGUCGCAAGAUUAAA